UACGUAGGGUGCAAGCGUUGUCCGGAAUUAUUGGGCGUAAAGAGCUCGUAGGCGGUCUGUCGCGUCGGCUGUGAAAACCCGGAGCUCAACUCCGGGCCUGCAGUCGAUACGGGCAGACUGGAGUUCGGCAGGGGAGACUGGAAUUCCUGGUGUAGCGGUGAAAUGCGCAGAUAUCGUGAGGAACACCAGAGGCGAAGGCGGUUACCUGGACAGUUACUGACGCUCAGGCACGAAAGCGUGGGGAGCAAAAGGG
RNAcentral lists this ribosomal RNA (253 nucleotides) under uncultured bacterium. RNAcentral describes it as "partial 16S ribosomal RNA". It matches the Rfam family "Bacterial small subunit ribosomal RNA", at positions 524 to 776 of the family's 1533-position model. The record is from RNAcentral.